This is a long non-coding RNA of Triticum dicoccoides, 1984 nucleotides long. RefSeq lists it as uncharacterized. NCBI's taxonomy places the organism in Eukaryota, Viridiplantae, Streptophyta, Magnoliopsida, Poales, Poaceae. The transcript has 9 exons. The record is from RefSeq and is a predicted model, not a curated record.
UCUAAACUCCUAAUGCCUCAGUUGGUAGGUCGCGUUCCGGGUUUUAUUUUCGUCCCACCUCACCUGGUUUUUUUGGUACCACCUUCACUGGUUUAUUUUCGUCCUGCCUCAACCUACGAAAAGAAACCAACGAAAAAAAAUCGAGGCCCCCUCGCACGAACCAGGAGCGAGGCCUCCAGUCUGCCCUCGAUCGUCUCGCUACGAGGACGAGAACCACGCCCCAGCCGCCGGAGCCCUACGCCGCCGCCGAGAUCGGAGAGGAGCCGCCGCCGCCGAGGUUCGAGAGGAGCUGGCAACCACGACCUCCCUCCCCAGCUGGCCGCCACCACCCCCUCCCCAAGCAGCCAUGUACAGCACGGCGGCGCCCACGCGCCUGGCCUAGGUGGGUCUCGGCCUCCCUCCUCCCUUCGUCCAAGGCCAGGAGCUCCCCCUCCCCGACCCGAUCUGGUGGAGAGAGGGCCAGGCCUUGCCACUCCGGUGGUCGCUGUGGCCAGAUCUGUCCGGGGUAGUCGCCGUAGAGCCUCUACGGCGGCGGAGUAGCAGCAGCCCGACAGAAGGUGGGUGCCAGAUCGUCGUCCAGCAGCUCGCCGUCGGAGCUUCUCACUGGAGGCAAUGGAGGCCGGAAGCAGCCGUCGUUGCCAGGCGGUCGAUCAUCACAGAUGGAAAACGAGGUCCAGCCAAAAUGUCUCAGAUCGGCAGAUUCUUAGUGGACUGCUUUCCUCAUGUCGACACAGUCUGCGAGGUGGAAGAUCCAUAGCAUACAGAUGCUAUCUUGGGUACGACUGAGCAGUCUCGGAUAUACUUUAACCCAGACAUCAACGCAACAAAUAACUUGAUUAUAAGGUACAAUCAUGAUUACCAAUGCCUAGCUAUUUUUUGAUCUUGACUAACACAAAGGGUAUAAUGUGUAGUUUCAGGGAGCCGUGUAGUUUCAGGGAGCCCCGUUGCUUUCUCAUAGAAUUUGUUCAGAUAUAAAUUUGCCUAUUACCAACAAUACAUUGAAUUAUAAUUAUAAUAUUGCAGGAACAAAUGUCAUGUGAAGCAAAUAAUUUCCUUAGAAAAAAUGUUCUCAUUCUGAAGGCGCCGACAGACCAUGAUACUUGAAGAUAUGGACGUGCCAAAUCUGCGCCGACCUCCUCUACGUGAUAUCUCUAAUGUUGAUCAUCAUUCCCAAAUGUCUCCAGUGCCAGUGAGCUCAGAGAACUUAACCCUGUUUGGAUCCGGUUGGGAAUGGGUAAAUCUUGCUAAGCAACUACGAGAGCGCAACAGAACUAAGCUGAUGGGGAUGCGAGAAACUACCAAAGACGACACCUGGUCGACAAAGAUGGAUGCGAGCAUCUGUCAGUGGCAGAAGAGAUGAAUCACAAAAGUAAAGCUUACAGUCAAAAAUAUGUGAAGCUCGGGAGGGCAUGGUGCUCAAAUACGUGUACCUCGAAACUUAAUUUUGUUCGCCUGCAUCAAUCAUCCAGUUCUGGUCUGACUUCAUUUUGCAAGAUGCAGAAGCAGUACUCCAAAACAUGCAUGGCUCAUCUACUCCAGAUACAAGUCCUACAAGCUUUAAGUGUUGAUCGUACAAGCCUGCUCCUAAACUUUCAGAGUUGCUGACAACAUUGAGCUGGACUUGCUUUUGUUGCUACUAUUGCUGAAGACAAACUCCAGAAAAGGGAGUGAAAGCAGAAAGAAGAGAGGUUGCACAAGAUGAGUAAUGAUGGGUAGCGAUAGAGGCUGAAGCUGUGAUGAUGAUGCGGAUCUGACCAUUAGUAUGUUUCCCAUCAAGGAAACCUACAAAUUCUAUUAUGAUACAAAUUUUCUAUUAUGAGGUGUGUUUCUCAUAAAGAAUGUGAUUUCUGCAUGAUAGUUUUCUAAAAAUGUGAAGGUUUUAUGCAAAGACUGACAUUUUAGAAGGAUGUAGUAAAAUAUAAACCUUGGUAGGUACUCCUGAAGUUGAAGCUGCUCAAGCAAUAGUAAUUUUUUUUCCGAGCAC